UUAGCACUUCUUACACUGUUUAUAUUGAUUCAUUUUUUCUCACCCCCUUUGCUUCAUGUUGUCCAUCAUGGACAACUUGCAGAUACUCAGGAGUGUUCCCUGUUGCUGUGUGUUGGAAGGUGGCUUGUUAGAGUUACUAUUCGCUUUUAAUUUUAAUCGUUAAUAAUAUUAGUGGUUUACUGCUCUGAUCGUGUAUCAUCGGGGAUGAGAUUUAUUAUGAUUUAAAGUUGUCAUUGUUUUUGUUAUUCUGAAGUUUAUAACUUAUUUAUGAAGUUAUAUUGAAA
Molecule: long non-coding RNA, 284 nt
Filed under: Lathyrus oleraceus (garden pea)
Lineage: Eukaryota; Viridiplantae; Streptophyta; Magnoliopsida; Fabales; Fabaceae
Description: Pisum sativum (pea) long non-coding RNA (PSAT_LNC018714)
Source: RNAcentral